GCGGGCACAGUGCACACCGGGGCAGCCACACACAGUUCAUGGACCAUGGCGGCGGCAACGCCAGCACAAGGACUUGGUGGGCGGAAAAGACGUGAUGAUUUAUGGACAUAUUCUACACAUAAUCCAGCAAAAAAUAAAACGGAAUGCCUUGAAGUGGGAGACAGCGGUACACGCUGUGGCUAUAAACUACGUGGCAAGAAUACGACCAACCUCAAGAGGCAUCUAAAGGCUCACCAUGCUGCUAUUUCUGCGACGGGUUAUAGUCAAGACCACCUAAACCAAGACCGAGUCAUUACCAAGACGAGAGUGUAUCGAGACCAAAACAAGAUCAAGACUUUGAGGGGUUGAGACCAAGUCAAGACCAAGACCAAAGCAGGUGACCACGCCCUAUUUAAAGAGGGAGAGCAGAGAGCAGAGGAGCUUCCCCCGAACCAGACGCCGGUUGUGUGUGUGGCUGUCUGUGGUUUCGAACUAAGUUAGACUGAAAAGUGUGACAAUAAAACGGUUCAUCAACCUGA
Neoarius graeffei (lesser salmon catfish) is the source of this 518-nucleotide long non-coding RNA. RefSeq lists it as uncharacterized. Lineage: Eukaryota; Metazoa; Chordata; Actinopteri; Siluriformes; Ariidae. The record is from RefSeq and is a predicted model, not a curated record. The transcript has 3 exons.